Molecule: long non-coding RNA, 223 nt
Filed under: Elaeis guineensis (African oil palm)
Lineage: Eukaryota; Viridiplantae; Streptophyta; Magnoliopsida; Arecales; Arecaceae
Description: long non-coding RNA (EGUI_LNC053595)
Source: RNAcentral
CUGCCUUUGCUGUGGCAUCAUUGUUGAUCUAUCAAUCUUUGUUUCUCUGUAAAUCCUCUACUCUUUAGUAAAUCUAUAGAUCAUCUAUUUUUUGAUAGAUUAAGAUUUGAAAAUCUUUUAUUUAGAUGAAUCUGCAGCUGUUCUCUAUUGCUUUUCUCCUUGGCUUCAGAUUUUCAAUCGUCUCUUUUUAUUAUUGAUCAAUAAAUUUCUCUCUAUUAUUGGC